This is a long non-coding RNA of Microplitis mediator, 6105 nucleotides long. RefSeq lists it as uncharacterized. The record is from RefSeq and is a predicted model, not a curated record. Lineage: Eukaryota; Metazoa; Arthropoda; Insecta; Hymenoptera; Braconidae. The transcript is spliced from 3 exons.
UUAACCCCACUCUAAACCCGAGAACGUCAUUCCAACGUCGUUAUUCGAACAGUGAAGACCGUACCUCGCUCGGUGGUUAUUUAUUAAUUUAAAUAACCGUUUCAUCGAUAUAAGGAGGAACCAAGCGUGUCCUUCACAUCGAGGAAUACGAGCUGGCUACAGUCUUACCGUUUGAGAUGACAUUGGAAUGGGCGGAGGGAGUCGCAGAUUCUGGUGACCCAUAAGGAACCAAAGGAAGCGAAACUCCACGCCAAAGGGGCGACAAGCCAAUCAUCCGUUUGGUUUGUAGAUAGUAUCGAAACAAACAUCUUUCUAUAUAUAUAUUUUUUUUUUGUAAUUAAUUGAACAGUUAAUUUAUUGUAAAUAUAAUUUUUCAGAUCUCAUUUAGAUUAAACUUUUCAUUAGUAAUGAAUUUAGAAUUUUAUUUUAAUAAUUGAGUUGAAAUCUCAUGCAUAUACUAAUAAUGUAUAAGAACUUAAUGAUAGAUAAUUUUUUUAUUGUAAUGAAAGUUGGGUGUCCAAGUAAUUUUUUCAUCUUAUUACUUUAGAAGAAUUUUGUAAAAUAGAUACGUAACGUAUUGUUCUUUUUUUUUUAUAUUUAUAUAUUUAUAAUCUGAAGAACACAACAUACAAAAUAACGUAAAGUAUUUUUCAUAUAUGAAUAAAUUUUAUAAUUAAAAAAAACGAACAAACAAUGAAGUUGAACAAAUGAUUUAUUGAUGCAUGCUUAUUUUUCAUUAACUAUUAAUUCCAUAAAUCCUUUUCAGUAAAUGGCACUCAUCCUCAAAUUGUUAUUGCAUAUGAAAAAAUUCAAUGGUCACAAAAAAGUUCCGGGCACUUGCUGAUCAUCUCUCUCGGUAAUAUCUACACGAAAUGAAAACAAUAAGAUGAUCGGGUGAGGUUUUUACUUGCGCAUGAUGAUUGAUAGUGAGGGAAAAAACAAAAUAGGGGGGAGAAAAGUUAUGUGUUUUUAGAAGGCAACUGAGUAACGCAGCCCGCAUGAACUACACCCAUCACUCUUCGCACCCUCACUUGCUUCUCCAAUUCCAACGGUUCGUUCGCGAGAAUCAGCACGUACGCCGUUACAACAAUGAGAUCCGGAUAAUAAUUGAGGUGGUGAGCUUUUUUAUAAUGUAACAAAAAAUCCCCGAUAAAAGUAUUUUCUCAGGUUUUGGAAAAGCCAGGCGAAGUUUAGAUUUCCUAGAAAAAAAUAAAUGGUUAAAACCAACUUCGGGUCGUCGUACUUCUGCGAUGGUGUCACUCUCACAAAAAAAGGCCGUCACUACAUCCGGUGGUAUUAAGCACAUGCAAAUAAUAAUAAUAUAGAAAGUAUACAGGUACUUGAUAAUUAUGUGCAUGAUCUGUUAGAAAAUCAAUUUCUAAUUAGAUGAAAUUUUUUAAAUGGAUUUUUUGAUAUAAAAACAAAAUAAUAUUGCGUAUAUAUAGUAAAGAUAAUUUGCCAAAAUGAGCAUUCGCAUAGCUCGGCAAUCGAAUAACCCAUGUUUUCACAGAUCUUGAAGCACCUUGAUUGUACAUAAUCCAGGAUGAACAGGUGUAGCAAAAAUACCAGAUCGCGAGAACUGGUUCUAGAUAUGAAGAAACGAGCGUGGGAGGCAAAUAACGGCAAAAUCGGAGACGUUGGAGUAAAUGAAAUGAAGGUUGAUGAAAUUUAAAUAGAGGUACCGCCGUAAAUGAUUACAGAUAUAAUAAUUUUUAUCAUUUAAUAAUAUCGUAAUAGUAAACUACUUUGAUUUGUAAAAACUAUUGUUGGGUUGGGGAUAUGGGGUAUAUAAGAAACAGUCAUUUUCGCUUCAGAGUCAUAAGAUAGAGAUGCCCGACAACCAAUUUUCACAUUCAAGCCCUCCGUUGAAGAUGGAAACUUUGGGAAACGAGAUAAGUGUUUAUGUAAGAUCCAAGAUCUAAAUUUUUUUUCUUUCUACUAUGGGGUUGGGCGGGGGAAACGAAAGUAUGAUUUUAAGUCGCAGGAAAACCUACUGGAACGCGUACACGAAAGAGCAGAGAAAGUAAGCGUGUGAACAGGAGAAAGCCAAUUUUACGAGUUUUAUCAGAAAAAUACCACAUUACAUCUGGAUUCAGGUAUCAUUCAUUCAUCAUUCGUACAAAUCUCGCGUUUUUUUUUUUUAUUGUGCAGAUAAGGACGAGUUUAUCCGAGUAACCAGAGAGUAUCGAGCCGAUAAACCUUAGAUCGAAACACGUGAGAAAUUUAAGAUCUUUAAUAUUAAUAUAUAAACGCUAUGUUUUUUAAAAAAAGAAACACCCGUAAUCCAAAAUUAUAGCAGAAAGAUAGGACAACAUUAAUCUUUUAAGCUUCAGAAGUACCUGAUACAAUGAAUGAAAGAAAUAACUGAUAUUAAAUACUUAGUGGAUUUAGAAGAUCAUUACGGUAAAUCAAGAGUUUAGAGGUAAAAAGUAUUAUCUUAUCUUUGGAUCUUCUUCUUAACUUAAUUUUUUUUCUCACUCUAUUUCUAUCACUGUUCGCGUUAUGAUUCUUUUGUUUGUGAGGGAGGUAGCGAUUCUGUUUUAUAGCACAGGAAACUUAUUACAACCGGAUAAGUUUAACUUAAAUAAGAAAACAAAGAUAACCAAGAUAUACAAAAGGAAUAUUUAUGAAACAUGAGAAAUACAAUUAGAAGAAUUAAUUUAACGAUACGAAUUUUUUUUUACAAAAAAAAAGAAGAAAUUGAAUUGAAGUCAAGAAAAAUAUUGAUUUAUUUAGGAAAUUAAGAGAGUUGAAAAUCAGGAAAUUAGGUCGAUAAUAUGAAAUAUAUAAAUGAAAAUAUUAAACGAUCCCUAUGGAAACUGACCGCAACAAUAAUUCCAGGUAAUUAGUAAAACAAUUAACGAGUAUUUUAUUUAACUACAUAAAUUUCGUUUAACAAUUUUUUUUUUAGACCUGAAAAUUUAAUCAGUAAAAACAAAAAAAAAUUACUUAAUAUGCCUUGGCCGACUGGCUUUUGCAAAAUAUUUACAAGAAACGAGUGAAAUUUAUAUAAUCUAAAAAUUUCUUUUAGCAAAAACAGGCUUUUAUGAAACGAGAGUUAAUUAAUUUCAAUAUUUAGUACCGAGAAUGGAUUUUGCACUUAAAACUAGUAUAAAUAUGCAUCCCUUCAUAUAAAAAUUUGAUUCAUCUACCAAAAGAAACAGCUUUUUUAUUCAGUGAAUUACUUCUACUACCAUAACUACUACUUCUGUUAACGUUCUCGUGGAUUGUUAUUGAAAGAACAAGAGUUAGUUUUAACGUGUAUUUAAAUCGUUUUGAUAAUUUUUUUGUGAAGUUUAAUAGUUUGUUUAUAUUACCAAAUGUUAUUUAUAUUAUGUUUUAAAGUUUUGUGAGCAAGUUCAUUAAUUUAUUUUUGUUAACUCUUAUAUAUUUAUAAUAAUUUGUUUUUACUGUAUACACCAGUAGCGCAUAUAACUGAUUUGAAUAGUUGUGUAGUGCGGUCACUUUUAAUUACGUGCAAGUUUUUAAUAAUUUAAUUAUAAAGUUUAUAAUUGUUAUUAUACAUAAUCAUCACACUAUGUAAUAUUGCUGCAAUGCUAAUAUCUGCUGGUAAUGAGCCUAUAUUUAUUAUUAUGUGUUAUGCGAAUGUCUGUAAACACAUCUAGGGUGAAUUGUUUAUAAUGCUGUAAAAAUAAUUUUGUCCUUACUCACUUAAUCCAAAAAUUAAUGGACAAUUUUUUCACAUUGCUCGUAUUGUGUCUGGAUAAAAAAAUAAUUAUAUGAAAAUAAUUAUUUUCAUUGUUGAAUGUUAAACAAAUAUUAUAUGGUGUAAUAUUAGAAACGUGGCUUUAUCUAUAUUUGUUGCUAGAACUAUCGGUGAGUUAUUUAUAAUCAUAUAUAAUUAGAGUUGUGAUUUUUUUUAAUAAUAUUUUUUUUUUUUUUCAUAAGUAUUUUCUUAAUUAACGUUUACGUAGAUUCCGCAGUUAACACAUUGUUUCUUUGUAUAAUAUUGUUCACACAAAAAAAAAAAAAACAAAUUAAUGCAUUGUUCUGCUGGAUAUUGUAAAUGUUAGGUACUCAAUACUGAAUAAGUAUUUUUGUACCCGCGACACGCUUUUAUAAUAAUAAAUUGAUAUUUUAUUGAGGGGUUUGGGGCUGGGGGACUACUAAUUAUUUUGCGAAUUCCAAAGUAUUUUCAGAACCAUACUCACCUAAGUGAUUAAUAUAUUGGAUACAUUAUUAUUAUUACUACUAUUAUUUUGUAAUGGCAUUACUACUUAUACGUUGAAAACAAAACGCAGCAAUUAUUAUCAUCUAUAUCUAUAAAUUGUCUCCAUAUUACGCAGAGCACAGCAUUGGAUUACGCUAAUAUAACGUUUUUUGGGCCACCUACUAUAUUGAUAUCUAUCUAUAAUUACUUACUAUAUCUAGGCAUGCAAAUUGGCUGUUGCUCUUUUUUUUGUAUUACUUAAAUAUUUGUAAUUAAAUACGCCUAUCACGAUAAAUCAUUCGUCCGCUUGGAGAAGAUUGGCACUGCAUAUAAUAAAUGAUGAGUAUUAGGCAUUUUAAUGUAUUUAAUAUAAUUUCAAGAGUUGGUUAUUAACUGAAUUGAGUUGAAUUAAACGAAACAAAACAAAAAACAAAAAAAAACGAAAGAAACAAAGAAAAAACAGGUACGCACUUUAGAUAAUUCAUUUGAUAUAUUUUUUUCAUUAUAUUGCACAAUGGAUAUGCUAGCAAAUGUGGUGCAUCAUAAAGCAAAUUGGCUUGGCUAUUAAAUUAGGAUAGGAUAAGAGGAUAAUAUAUUAUUACUAUAAUUAACAAGAAAACAACUAUUGAAGAUGAGUGACUAUACUAAGCGAUACAUUUCUAUAACAUAACGAAGAUUAAUAUUUACUAUUGAAGAGUAUAUUAGAAAUUCUGAAUUUAAUAAUUUCUGUAGAAGAUUAUGUUUACCACUACUUUUAUUAUUAUUGCAUUUAAAAAACUAUGUGUGUUAGAAUGGUAUAAUGCUAAUGAACAAACGUGAGUUAAAUAAAGCCCUUUUUAUCCUAUUAGUUUUCCCGCUAACUAAGUGUUUUUAGAAAACUACUUGGAGAAUGACUCGUAAGACAGUUUGGGACUUGGGGAUGUUGAUGCUUGGAAUGAUGCCUAGAUCUAGCUGCGGGGUUCCAUGCUGAUGUACCACUUCCUCCCAAAUGCUACAGAGGGUUUGGUCGUGAGCUUGUACAGCUGGGUGGUCGUUCAUUCUUCUUCCGGUCCCGAUGGCCUUCAGAGUCCAGCUAUCGUCUGUGGCAGGACAUGGCGUCCACACCCGAGUAUCAUCGUCCGCUGUGGUCUGACUCCUGGCAGCCGAUCUUCCGGAACUGCGGAGUGAUGACAACACGGGACACGCUCGUGUGAGGGUCCUUGGCGAUUGAAGACUCUUCUGGCGACGGGACACGCGUUACCUGGGGCUUAUUUCCGCACACCCGAGCACACCUGAGCACACUCAUCCGGUCGAGGCGGUUGUGACGGUAUUCCGGUUGGCAAAGGGGUUGAGGCUUUUUCUUAGAGCAGGAAUCUGACGGAGGCAUCCAGAUGAAUGCAGAGUUCCAGCCAAAACGCAUCUUCUUUUUAUUUUUUUAAUUUUUUUAUUCAUAUUGGUCUGGCAAACACCAAGCUUGACGAUCACAUUAUCUUAUUAGCAACUUCACUUUAUGUUUGGUUUUUUUCCUUGGUAUGUUUUGUAACUUGGAAAAUAUUUUUAAAUUCAAAACGGAAAAAAAAAAAACAAAAAAAAAAAGAAAAUGAAAUUGAAAUUUAAAAUUUAAAAAAAAAAUAAAAACAAAAAAAAAAGAGAAGGUAAAAAAAAAAUACAAUUAAAAAAAAGAAAAGGCAAAAAAAAAAUACAAUAAAAAUAAAAAAAAAAAAAGAAAAGGUAAAAAAAAUACAAUUAAAAUAAAAAAAAAAGAAAAAGGGAAAAAAAUACAAUUAAAAAAAAAAUUUUAAUAAAAAAAGAAGAAAAGACGAAAAAAAAAAUACAAUUAAAAAAAAUUGAAAUUAAAAAAAAAAAAAAAAGGUAAAAAAAAAUUAAAAUAAAAAAAAAAAAAAUAGAAAAUAUGGGGUUUGGGGGGUUUUUUUAGGCCAGCGCAGAAGAAAGAA